Molecule: ribosomal RNA, 119 nt
Filed under: Pteropus alecto (black flying fox)
Lineage: Eukaryota; Metazoa; Chordata; Mammalia; Chiroptera; Pteropodidae
Source: RNAcentral
UUCUAUAGCCGUGCCACCUUGAACAAGCGUGAUCUCAUCUGAUCUCAGAAGCUAACCAGGGUCGGGCCUGUUUAGUACCUGGAUGGAAGACUACCUAGGAAGACCAGGUGCUGUAGGGG